RNAcentral lists this ribosomal RNA (121 nucleotides) under Staphylococcus aureus. Its description in RNAcentral is "partial 23S ribosomal RNA". It matches the Rfam family "Bacterial large subunit ribosomal RNA", at positions 1 to 121 of the family's 2925-position model. Lineage: Bacteria; Bacillati; Bacillota; Bacilli; Caryophanales; Staphylococcaceae. The record is from RNAcentral.
GAUUAAGUUAUUAAGGGCGCACGGUGGAUGCCUUGGCACUAGAAGCCGAUGAAGGACGUUACUAACGACGAUAUGCUUUGGGGAGCUGUAAGUAAGCUUUGAUCCAGAGAUUUCCGAAUGG